AUUGAACGCUGGCGGCAGGCUUAACACAUGCAAGUCGAACGAGUGGCGGACGGGUGAGUAAUGUCUGGGAAACUGCCCGAUGGAGGGGGAUAACUACUGGAAACGGUAGCUAAUACCGCAUACCAUCGGAUGUGCCCAGAUGGGGUUAGCUUGUAGGGGAGGUAACGGCUCACCUAGGCGACGAUCUCUAGCUGGUCUUUGAGGAUGACCAGCCACACUGGAACUGAGAAACGGUCCAGACUCCUGCGGUAGGCAGCAGUGGGGAAUAUUGCACGAGGGGCGCAAGCCUGAUGCAGCCAUGCCGCGUGUAUGAAGAAGGCCUUCGGGUUGUAAAGUACUUUCAGCGGGGAGGCGUUACCCGCAGAAGAAGCACCGGCUAACUCCGUGCCAGCAGCCGCGGUAAUAC
This 406-nucleotide ribosomal RNA is filed under the name uncultured bacterium. RNAcentral's name for it is "partial 16S ribosomal RNA". It matches the Rfam family "Bacterial small subunit ribosomal RNA", at positions 30 to 526 of the family's 1533-position model. The record is from RNAcentral.